GAUGAACGCUGGCGGCGUGCCUAAUACAUGCAAGUCGAACGCAUUGAGAGAAGUGCUUGCACUUUUCAAUUUGAGUGGCGAACGGGUGAGUAACACGUGGGCAACCUACCUGAUAGCGGGGGAUAACGAGUGGAAACAUUCGCUAAUACCGCAUAACAAUAGAGAAGGCAUCUUCUUUAUUUAAAAGGCGCUUUCAAGCGUCACUAUCAGAUGGGCCCGCGGUGCAUUAGUUAGUUGGUGGGGUGAAGGCCGACCAAGACGAUGAUGCAUAGCCGGAUGGAGAGACUUGUCGGCCACAUUGGGACUGAGAAACGGCCCAAACUCCUACGGGAGGCUGCAGUAGGGAAUCUUCCACAAUGGACGAAAGUCUGAUGGAGCAACGCCGCGUGUGUGAUGAAGGCUUUCGGGUCGUAAAGCACUGUUGUAUGGGAAGAAAUGCUAGGCUAGGAAAUGAGCUUAGUUUGACGGUACCAUACCAGAAAGGGACGGCUAAAUACGUGCCAGCCGCCGCUAGUAA
Molecule: ribosomal RNA, 517 nt
Filed under: uncultured bacterium
Lineage: Bacteria
Description: partial 16S ribosomal RNA
Rfam family: Bacterial small subunit ribosomal RNA
Source: RNAcentral